CGGGUCCUGUGCAAUAAAGACACGCAAACCCCGUCAGGUCCGGAAGGAAGCAGCGGUAGCGAAUUCCUCUUUAUGUGCGCAGGGUUGCCCGG
RNAcentral lists this signal recognition particle RNA (92 nucleotides) under Desulfobulbus oralis. RNAcentral's name for it is "Bacterial small signal recognition particle RNA". It matches the Rfam family "Bacterial small signal recognition particle RNA". From Rfam's summary of the family: The signal recognition particle (SRP) is a universally conserved ribonucleoprotein involved in the co-translational targeting of proteins to membranes. The record is from RNAcentral. Lineage: Bacteria; Pseudomonadati; Thermodesulfobacteriota; Desulfobulbia; Desulfobulbales; Desulfobulbaceae.